RNAcentral lists this ribosomal RNA (253 nucleotides) under uncultured bacterium. RNAcentral describes it as "partial 16S ribosomal RNA". It matches the Rfam family "Bacterial small subunit ribosomal RNA", at positions 524 to 776 of the family's 1533-position model. The record is from RNAcentral.
UACGUAGGGGGCAAGCGUUGUCCGGAUUUAUUGGGCGUAAAGAGCGUGUAGGCGGCCGCACAGGUCCGUUGUGAAAACUGGAGGCUUAACCUUCAGACGUCGAUGGAAACCGUGCGGCUAGAGUCCGGAAGAGGAGAAUGGAAUUCCUGGUGUAGCGGUGAAAUGCGCAGAUAUCGGGAAGAACACCCAUGGCGAAGGCAGCUCUCUGGGACGGUACUGACGCUGAGACGCGAAAGCGUGGGGAGCGAACAGG